ACGGGAGGCAGCAGUGGGGAAUAUUGGGCAAUGGGCGGAAGCCUGACCCAGCAACGCCGCGUGAGGGAAGAAGGUUUUCGGAUUGUAAACCUCUGUCCUUGGUGACGAAGGAAGUGACGGUAGCCAAGGAGGAAGCCCCGGCUAACUACGUGCCAGCAGCCGCGGUAAUACGUAGGGAGCGAGCGUUGUCCGGAAUUACUGGGUGUAAAGGGAGCGCAGGCGGGACUGCAAGUCAGAUGUGAAAACUAUGGGCUCAACCCAUAACGUGCAUUUGAAACUGUAGUUCUUGAGUGAAGUAGAGGUAAGCGGAAUUCCUAGUGUAGCGGUGAAAUGCGUAGAUAUUAGGAGGAACAUCGGUGGCGAAGGCGGCUUACUGGGCUUUUACUGACGCUGAGGCUCGAAAGCGUGGGGAGCAAACAGGAUUAGAUACCCUGGUA
RNAcentral lists this ribosomal RNA (437 nucleotides) under uncultured Ruminococcus sp. Its description in RNAcentral is "partial 16S ribosomal RNA". It matches the Rfam family "Bacterial small subunit ribosomal RNA", at positions 341 to 792 of the family's 1533-position model. Lineage: Bacteria; Bacillati; Bacillota; Clostridia; Eubacteriales; Oscillospiraceae. The record is from RNAcentral.